This 441-nucleotide ribosomal RNA is filed under the name uncultured bacterium. Its description in RNAcentral is "partial 16S ribosomal RNA". It matches the Rfam family "Bacterial small subunit ribosomal RNA", at positions 338 to 795 of the family's 1533-position model. The record is from RNAcentral.
CCUACGGGCGGCAGCAGUGGGGAAUAUUGCACAAUGGGCGAAAGCCUGAUGCAGCAACGCCGCGUGAGCGAUGAAGGCCUUCGGGUCGUAAAGCUCUGUCCUCAAGGACGAUAAUGACGGUACUCGAGGUGGAAGCCCCGGCUAACUACGUGCCAGCCGCCGCGGUAAUACGGGGGAUGCAAGCGUUAUCCGGAUUUAAUGGGUUUAAAGGGUGCGUAGGCUGUGAGGUAAGUCAGCGGUGAAAUGCCGCCGCUCAACGGGCUGAAGUGCCAUUGAUACUGCCUUGCUGGAGUGCGGGUGCGGUGGGAGGAAUGUGGGGUGUAGCGGUGAAAUGCAUAGAUAUCACGCAGAACACCGAUUGCGAAGGCAUCUGACGGGUCCGAGAUUGACGCUGAUGCACGAAAGCGUGGGUAUCAAACAGGAUUAGAUACCCUGGUAGUC